AUUUUCUGAGGGGGGGAGGGUGUGCCUUUUAUUUCACAGGCCCAGGAGAGGGUCAUGAUUUUCUGAGUGGGGAGGGUGUGCCUUUUGUUUCACAGGCCCAGGACAGGGUCAUGAUUUUCUGAGGGGGAGGGUGUGCCUUUUGUUUCCCAGGCCAAGGAGAGGGUCAUGAUUUUCUGAGUGGGGAGGGUGUGCCUUUUGUUUCCCAGGCCAAGGAGAGGGUCAUGAUUUUCUGAGUGGGGAGGGUGUGCCUUUUGUUUCACAGGCCCAGGAGAGGGUCAUGAUUUUCUGAGUGGGGAGGGUGUGCCUUUUGUUUCACAGGCCCAGGAGAGGGUCAUGAUUUUCUGAGGGGGAGGGGUGUGCCUUUUGUUUCACAGGCCAAGGAGAGGGUCAUGAUUUUCUG
Molecule: long non-coding RNA, 400 nt
Organism: Oncorhynchus tshawytscha (Chinook salmon)
Lineage: Eukaryota; Metazoa; Chordata; Actinopteri; Salmoniformes; Salmonidae
Source: Ensembl